Molecule: ribosomal RNA, 468 nt
Filed under: uncultured bacterium
Lineage: Bacteria
Description: bacterial SSU rRNA
Rfam family: Bacterial small subunit ribosomal RNA
Source: RNAcentral
CCUACGGGAGGCAGCAGUAAGGAAUAUUGGACAAUGCCCGCAAGGGUGAUCCAGCCAUGCCGCGUGCAGGAAGACGGCCCUAUGGGUUGUAAACUGCUUUUAUACAAGAGAAAACCUCCCUACGUGUAGGGAGCUGAUAGUAUUGUAGGAAUAAGCAUCGGCUAACUUCGUGCCAGCAGCCGCGGUAAGACGAAGGAUGCAAGCGUUAUCCGGAUUCAUUGGGUUUAAAGGGAGCGUAGGCGGUCUUAUAAGUCAGUGGUGAAAGCUUCUCGCUUAACGAGGAAAUUGCCAUUGAUACUGUAGGACUUGAGUACAGUUGCUGUGGGCGGAAUAUGACAUGUAGUGGUGAAAUACAUAGAGAUGUCAUAGAACACCGAUUGCGAAGGCAGCUCACAAACUGUAACUGACGCUGAGCGUCGAAGUAGCGGAGUACAACAGAUAGUAUACCUCGUAGUCGCACUAGUAACG